Fukomys damarensis (Damara mole-rat) is the source of this 274-nucleotide long non-coding RNA. RefSeq lists it as uncharacterized. NCBI's taxonomy places the organism in Eukaryota, Metazoa, Chordata, Mammalia, Rodentia, Bathyergidae. The record is from RefSeq and is a predicted model, not a curated record. The transcript has 3 exons.
CAGUUCGGAGCGGUUCUGUGUCAACCUUUCAUUUUGCUCUCCUAUUUGUGUCCACAACUAGAUCUAGAUCACAUAUUUAGAGCUAUUGAUGAAAACCUUUAAAUGAGAGGGAAGAAUCUCCAGCUCAUAUCACACUCCACUGUCUAAUCACUACAUUGAAUUUGGCAUUUUUGCUGGACUAGGGAUAACAUCUAACUUGCAAAGACACACAUGUCGACUGCUGGGGAUAAAUCAAGGUGAUCGGAUCACUCACACUGUCGGACAGCUGGCGCCG